CCCCUAGAUGUUCUGGGCCGCACGCGCGCUACACUGAACAGUUCAACAAGUCUUAACCUUGGCCGAUAGGUCUGGGUAAUCUUUGAACGCUGUUCGUGAUUGGGAUAGACCUUUGCAAUUAUGGGUCUUCAACGAGGAAUUCCUAGUAAACGCAAGUCAUCAGCUUGCAUUGAUUACGUCCCUGCCCUUUGUACACACCGCCCGUCGCUCCUACCGAUUUCGAGUGGUUCGGUGAACCUUUCGGACCGGCAAUGCCUCGUGCUGCGCCGGAAAGUCAAGUAAACCAUAUCACUUAGAGGAAGGAGAANUCGUANCA
This 316-nucleotide ribosomal RNA is filed under the name uncultured eukaryote. RNAcentral's name for it is "partial 18S ribosomal RNA". It matches the Rfam family "Eukaryotic small subunit ribosomal RNA", at positions 1470 to 1796 of the family's 1831-position model. The record is from RNAcentral.